AGAUUUUUUUUAAUGGUGGCGAGGUAUUUCUUCUCUUUAUCUACUGAUUUUAUUUAUAUUUUUUUCAUGCUUUGGAUUUCAGAUUGGAUUGUGUGACAAAGUCGAUACGAUUGCAUGGUAAGCAAACAGGAUGAUUGGAACAUUUCUAUGAUUUUUGGUUAUGCCUACCCGGCUUGUGGGUGUUCUAAAGUAGCGGGGAAGAGAAGGAUAGACAUUGAGCAACUCCUGUUUCGAUGCAUGCCGGUACUGGAUUCUAGUUGCAAUGCUUGCAGUUCGUGAGAGAGUAGGAGUCAUCUAAUCUCUUGGCUAACUAUGUACAGUGAAGCAAAGCUGGCACUCUUGAUAUAUCUUUGGCAUCCGAAAACGAAAGUAUGUAGAGUCAUCCUAAAUCUGUAAAGCAGCAUCAUCCGGUCGGUUAUCUAUCUUUCAAUUAGUUAUCCCGAUCGACUGGCUUCUUGUUUUGACUGCUUCAAGGCACAUUAUAUGUUUAUGACUGUUUUUUCCGGUUUUCUGUGGCAAAACAUGAGACCGAUAUUAAUUGUAAUUUGCUGGAGUUGAGGUGAGGGCUGAGGAGAUUGCCCUUAUUUAUUGGCAAAAGGCUGCAGCUUAUGGACAGGCUAUUUUUUUGAAAAUUGUCAGUAUGUUUCUUCUCAAUCAGUAUCACUGCCUAAUUCUGAUCAGCAACAAGGGCCAAAUGCUAAAAAUGGAGAGCCUGAUCGUGCAUCAGGUUCAAGCGGAGAGUAUACGAAAAGGCAGCCCAAAGAACCUGAUCAGUUAAGUUCAUUUAGUAGGUGCUUCUUUGUCCCAGCAGUCACAUGAGCAUGCGAGUUGGAAGAAAGGCCAGGUCAACCACUCCCAUCAUCCUUUGAGAAUGGACAUGGAAGAUGGAAACCUUUCCGGACCCCACAUAAACAAUCAAAUUCUUAAGUUGUUACCUACAUGUAAAUACUAGGUUGAGACAAGAUUUUAAGAUAUAAUUUAUAUUAUCUUGUGUUUAAUAUUUAUCAAA
Long non-coding RNA from Populus euphratica (Euphrates poplar), 1009 nucleotides. RefSeq lists it as uncharacterized. The record is from RefSeq and is a predicted model, not a curated record. The transcript is spliced from 4 exons. NCBI's taxonomy places the organism in Eukaryota, Viridiplantae, Streptophyta, Magnoliopsida, Malpighiales, Salicaceae.